UACAUGUGGGGCAAGCGUUGUUCGGAAUUACUGGGCAUAAAGGGUGCGUAGGUGGCUUGUUAAGUCAGGGGUGAAAGUUUUCGGCCCAACCGGAAAAUGGCCUUCGAUACUGGCGAGCUCGAGUGCGUGAGGGGUAACCGGAACGAGCAGUGUAGCGGUGAAAUGCGUAGAUAUUGCUCGGAAGGCCAACGGCGAAGGCAGGUUACGUGGUGCGCAACUGACACUGAGGCACGAAGCGUGGGAG
RNAcentral lists this ribosomal RNA (244 nucleotides) under uncultured bacterium. RNAcentral describes it as "partial 16S ribosomal RNA". It matches the Rfam family "Bacterial small subunit ribosomal RNA", at positions 524 to 767 of the family's 1533-position model. The record is from RNAcentral.